RNAcentral lists this ribosomal RNA (506 nucleotides) under uncultured bacterium. Its description in RNAcentral is "partial 16S ribosomal RNA". It matches the Rfam family "Bacterial small subunit ribosomal RNA", at positions 29 to 523 of the family's 1533-position model. The record is from RNAcentral.
AGUGAACGCUGGCGGUAGGCCUAACACAUGCAAGUCGAACGGCAGCACAGGAGAGCUUGCUCUCUGGGUGGCGAGUGGCGGACGGGUGAGGAAUACAUCGGAAUCUACUCUGUCGUGGGGGAUAACGUAGGGAAACUUACGCUAAUACCGCAUACGACCUACGGGUGAAAGCAGGGGAUCUUCGGACCUUGCGCGAUUGAAUGAGCCGAUGUCGGAUUAGCUAGUUGGCGGGGUAAAGGCCCACCAAGGCGACGAUCCGUAGCUGGUCUGAGAGGAUGAGCAGCCACACUGGAACUGGAACACGGUCCAGGCUCCUACGGGAGGAAGCAGUGGGGAAUAUUGGACAAUGGGCGCAAGCCUGAUCCAGCCAUACCGCGUGGGUGAAGAAGGCCUUCGGGUUGUAAAGCCCUUUUGUUGGGAAAGAAAUCCAGCUGGCUAAUACCCGGUUGGGAUGACGGUACCCAAAGAAUAAGCACCGGCUAACUUCGUGCCAGCCGCCGCCGUAA